GGGCCGUUAGCUCAGUUGGUAGAGCAGUUGGCUUUUAACCAAUUGGUCCCGCGUUCGAGUCGCGGACGGCCCACCA
Molecule: transfer RNA, 76 nt
Filed under: Paraperlucidibaca wandonensis
Lineage: Bacteria; Pseudomonadati; Pseudomonadota; Gammaproteobacteria; Moraxellales; Moraxellaceae
Also listed under: 21 other names
Description: tRNA-Lys
Rfam family: tRNA
About the family: Transfer RNA (tRNA) molecules are approximately 80 nucleotides in length. Their secondary structure includes four short double-helical elements and three loops (D, anti-codon, and T loops).
Source: RNAcentral